RNAcentral lists this ribosomal RNA (1286 nucleotides) under Enterococcus faecium. RNAcentral describes it as "bacterial SSU rRNA". It matches the Rfam family "Bacterial small subunit ribosomal RNA", at positions 56 to 1315 of the family's 1533-position model. The record is from RNAcentral. Lineage: Bacteria; Bacillati; Bacillota; Bacilli; Lactobacillales; Enterococcaceae.
UGCAGUCGAACGCUUCUUUUUCCACCGGAGCUUGCUCCACCGGAAAAAGANGAGUGGCGAACGGGUGAGUAACACGUGGGUAACCUGCCCAUCAGAAGGGGAUAACACUUGGAAACAGGUGCUAAUACCGUAUAACAAUCNAAACCGCAUGGUUUUGAUUUGAAAGGCGCUUUCGGGUGUCGCUGAUGGAUGGACCCGCGGUGCAUUAGCUAGUUGGUGAGGUAACGGCUCACCAAGGCCACGAUGCAUAGCCGACCUGAGAGGGUGAUCGGCCACAUUGGGACUGAGACACGGCCCAAACUCCUACGGGAGGCAGCAGUAGGGAAUCUUCGGCAAUGGACGAAAGUCUGACCGAGCAACGCCGCGUGAGUGAAGAAGGUUUUCGGAUCGUAAAACUCUGUUGUUAGAGAAGAACAAGGAUGAGAGUAACUGUUCAUCCCUUGACGGUAUCUAACCAGAAAGCCACGGCUAACUACGUGCCAGCAGCCGCGGUAAUACGUAGGUGGCAAGCGUUGUCCGGAUUUAUUGGGCGUAAAGCGAGCGCAGGCGGUUUCUUAAGUCUGAUGUGAAAGCCCCCGGCUCAACCGGGGAGGGUCAUUGGAAACUGGGANGACUUGAGUGCAGAAGAGGAGAGUGGAAUUCCAUGUGUAGCGGUGAAAUGCGUAGAUAUAUGGAGGAACACCAGUGGCGAAGGCGGCUCUCUGGUCUGUAACUGACGCUGAGGCUCGAAAGCGUGGGGAGCAAACAGGAUUAGAUACCCUGGUAGUCCACGCCGUAAACGAUGAGUGCUAAGUGUUGGAGGGUUUCCGCCCUUCAGUGCUGCAGCUAACGCAUUAAGCACUCCGCCUGGGGAGUACGACCGCAAGGUUGAAACUCAAAGGAAUUGACGGGGGCCCGCACAAGCGGUGGAGCAUGUGGUUUAAUUCGAAGCAACGCGAAGAACCUUACCAGGUCUUGACAUCCUUUGACCACUCUAGAGAUAGAGCUUCCCCUUCGGGGGCAAAGUGACAGGUGGUGCAUGGUUGUCGUCAGCUCGUGUCGUGAGAUGUUGGGUUAAGUCCCGCAACGAGCGCAACCCUUAUUNUUAGUUGCCAUCAUUCAGUUGGGCACUCUAGCAAGACUGCCGGNGACAAACCGGAGGAAGGUGGGGAUGACGUCAAAUCAUCAUGCCCUUAUGACNUGGGCUACACACGUGCUACAAUGGGAAGUACAACGAGUNGCGAAGUCGCGAGGCUAAGNUAAUCUCUUAAAGCUUNUCUCAGUUCGGAUUNCAGGNUGCAACUCGC